GCUUGCAGUGGGGCCAGCCCCACUGUUCAUUUGUUGGAUAACCUUGGGUGGGUUAUUUCACUGCCCUUACCUUUGAUAUUAAUAGAAACAGGAUGACAUAGGGUCAGAGAGGUUAAAUAAUUUACCCACAUGGCUUCUAGCUGGAAUCCAGUGCUUAAAAGUUCACUUUAGUGGCUCACACCCCUAAUCCCAGCACUUUGGGAGGCUGAGGCAGGCAGAUCAGCUGAGGUCAGGAGUUCGAGACUAGCCUGGCUAACAUGGUGAAACCCCAUUUCUACUAAAAAUACAAAAAAUUAUCCAGGUGUUGUAGCACAUGCUACUCAAGAGGCUAAGACAGAAGAAUCACUUGAACCCAGGAGGCAGAGGUUUCACUGGGCCAAGACUGCACCAUUGCACUAUAGCUUGGGCAACAAGAGCAAAACUCCAUCUCAAAAACAAAAGGAAAUCACAAAAGUUCGCUUUAUUGCCUUUCUGUGGCCGAACACCUGCUGGGUUCCAGGCUCUGGGGAUACACGAGGUGAACGAGACACAUGGUUGCUCCCUGUGCAGUAUGGUGAUUUCUCGGACCUCCUAUUCCUCCUUAUCAUUUCUGUUUAAGCCUGAGAAAGUCCGGUGCUUUUAAGAAUGUGUGUGGUUAGAUUUGGCUCACCUGGGUAUCCAGGCCAAUCUCCCCAUCUCAAACCCCUUGCUAAUCCCACCUGCAAAGUCCCUUUUGCUACAUAAGGUGACAUAUUCAGAGGUUCUCAGGAUUAGGGCAUGGACAUUACUGUGUGGGGAUGGACAGUGUGCCUACCUAGUCAGCCCUCUAGUCCCUGAAGAUGUUUGUUCAUCCCCAAUACAAAAUACAUCCACCCUGCUCCAAUGCCUCAUCCCAUUUUAACAUCAACUCAGGAGUCCAAAAUCUGCUCUAAAUCUCAUCACCUACAACACCUCAAUCUGGCAUGGGGGAGGCUCUGGGGAUGACCCAUCCUGUGCAGUGCCUCUUCCUCUGUGAACCUGGAACACACUAAACCAGUUACCUGGCCCUAAAGUGUAGUGAGUGGCCAUCCAGAGGAAUAUAAUCUAGUUCUGUCCCUGAUCCAAGGGACCUAAUAUGUGCUAUGGGCAAGAAAGAUAAAAAAGAAACAAACAGGCUAUACACCCAGAAAUACCAGACCCCUAAGCCUCCCUGGUCCUGUGUGACCAGGGAAAGGAGUUUCUUCAAAGGGUCUGUCGGCACCUAAUUCCAUGUUCUGUGAGCUUUGGAGAAGGCCAAGCUAGACACUCCUUCCACUGGUAUUGCUCAUUUUAGAAAAUGAGUCAGGCCAGGUGCAGUAACUCACACCUGUCAUCCCAGAACUUUGGGUGGCCAAGGCGGGCAGAUCUCCUGAAGCCAGGAGUUCAUGACCAGCCUGCCACACAUGGCAAAACCCUGUCUCUACUAAAAAUACAAAGAUUAGCCAGGCGUGAUGGUACACCUCUGCAGUCCCAGGUACUCAGGAGGCUGAAGCAGGAGAAUUGCUUGAACCCAGGAGGCAGAGGUUGCAGUGAGGUGAGAUCAUGACCCUGCACUCUAGCUUAGGCCACAGAGUGAGACUCUGUCUCAAGAAAAAAAGAGAGUCAGAGUCAGGGCCUUCCCUGGUGUCUUCAAUAAGACACCUGUGAAUUACUUGCAGGUGAAAAUUUUCCCAGAGCACAACAGCCUGGUUGUCCUGCAUGUAGGACUCUGUCAUGUAGCUAAUUAUCAGCUCCACCUGGGCUGUUUUUACCUGGUCCCUACCCAUAUCUUCAAUUAGGAUCCACCUGCUGGGGGCUCAAGAAAGUCUAAGCUCUUAGAAAUCUCUCAGGUGAAUCUCGUUAUCAAGCAGGCUUGGCAGCCACAGAUCUACAGCUUUCUGGCCCAGAGACACCUGGCACACAGGAGGGGUCAGAGCUGCCCGUGAUACUGGUUUUGAACUGGUGUAAGGCUUUCUCGAGUAGGGACCCUGGAGCCCAGGGGACCAAGACCAAGAGGUCCCUGCCUGCCCCAGGCUUCUGAGGAGGAGAAGAAAGGAAGGCUGGAAAAGCCCAUGUUUAGGAAUAGAGCUGCUCUACCUCCUGGACAUCCAGGGCCAUCCUUGAUACUGGGCUGUUGCAAGGUAAUGAUAUCAAGUUCCCUUUUUAGAAAGCCCUGUGACUGGGUGCAGUGGCUCAUACCUAUAAUCUCAGCACUUUGGGAGGCCAAAGCAGGCAGAUCACCUGACAGGUUAGGUGAUCGAGACCAGCCUGGCCCUCAUGGUGAAACCCUGUCUCUAUUAAAAAUAUAAAAAUUAGCCAGAUGUGGUGGUGUGUGCCUAUAAUCCCAGCUACUCGGGAAGCUGAGGCAGGAGAGUCGCUUGAACCCAGAAGGCAUAGGUUACAAUGAGCUGAGAUUACUCCAUUACACUCCAGCCUGGGUGUCAGAGUGAGAUUCCAUCUCAAAAAAAAAAAAAGUGAGCCCUUUUACAGAAAACUAUUAAGUAAACAAUAGAAUGGUGGUGCCUGAGUGACUGGUGUGUGGGUACUUGCUUUUCCUUGAUGUUCUGGAGUAGAGCUGCACUCUCUAAUUGAUUGUCAGCAGCCUCAUGGGUCUAUGGAGUACUUGGAAUGUGCUGGUGUGACAGGCAGAGUUGCCAAACACAGUAAAUAAAAAUUUAGGAUGCCUCCUCCAUCAGUGUGGGCUGUGCACAGUGACUUCCUUCCAGAAUGGGAGGGGGAUAAAAGAGUAACUUAACAGUGGCAAAACCUGACAGACUGCCCCAGACAGCCAGCCAAGGUUAACAUCAAGUGAUAAAUCAUGUUAAUAGCAUAUCUGGGUAAGAUACCUGAGGCCCUAGGGGCCAGGACUUAAAAGCUUCAAAUUCCACAGCCACUCCUCUUCUCACUGCCCUCACAUGGCUCCUGCAGAGAGUAGUGACAGUGCCCUAAGGGACCUUUAGGAACCUGAUGGAACCACAGGAGGUCUCUAGGAGGCCUGGAGAGGCAUGUGAGGACUUGACAUUUUCAAUAGGUACGACAGCCAGGGUUUGUGCUUGAGACCUCUGGUCAGAGCUGGCAAUGCUGCGUAAUGAAUUGCCACAAAUUUAGGAGCUUAAUAAAACAAAUAUAUUGGCCAGGUGCAGUGACUCACACUUGUAAUACCAGCACUUUGGGAGGCCAAGGCAGGCAGAUCACCUGAGGUCGGGAGUUCGAGACCAGCCUGACCAACAUGGAUAAAUCUUGUCUCUACUAAAAAUACAAAAAAUUAGCUGGGUGUGGUAGUGCAUGCCUUUAAUCCCAGCUACUUUGGAGGCUGAGGAAAAAGAAUCGCUUGAACCUAGAAGGUAGAGGUUGCAGUGAGCCAAUAUCUUACCACUGCCCUUCAGCCUGGGUGACAAAGCAAGACUCCAUCACAAGAAAAGAAUAGCCUUGUUAAAUUUCUCCCAUGUGUUGAUGCACUUGCUGUAAUAUUUAUUCCUGCUAUUAUGAAUCACCUGCUCCCAGGGCUGCCCUGCUUAUUGCGAGACAUCUUCUGUUUUCCUAAAUCUGAGAUAGUGUUUUCCCUGUCUUUACCACAUUCUCCGCCUCUCCGGCUGGUGUCAUGGCCCUUUAAGGAGAGUGAGCACAUUGGCUCUGAGAUCUUGGUCUCACCAGUUUGGCAACAGGCGCCGACUUGGCAUGAGAAAUAAAUGUUAGUGGGAAAAAUCUUUUUUUUUUUUUUUUGAGGAGUCUUGCUCUGUUGCCAGGCUGGAGUGCGAUGACACAAUCCCAGCUCACUGCAACUUCUGCCCUCCAGGUUCAAGCGAUUCUCCUGCAUCAGCUUCCCAAGUAGCUGAGACUACAGGCACGUGCCACCACGCCCAGCUAAUUUUUGUAUUUUUUAGUAGAUAUGGGGUUUCAUUAUGUUGGCCAGGAUGGUAUUGAUCUCUUGACCUUGUGAUCUGCCCGCCUCAGCCUCUCAAAGUGCUGGGAUUACAGGUGUGAACCACCGCACCCAGCCAGGAAAAGUCUUUUUAAAAAUGCACAUAUAUAGUGAAAUGCAUAUCCCAAUGCAAAUAUCAUUGCACCUGUUGAUGUGUGUCUUAAAAAGCCUGAGAUAGGGAAAUUUGGCAGGUGGAAGUUACUUUCCAACUCCUUUCUCAUAGCAUGGCACAUGGAAGAGAAGAUUUUGGCUUUAGAACUUCACUUCUUGCUCUGUCACCCAAGCUGCAAUCUCUGCCUCCUGCAAUCUCACUGCAAUCUCUGACUCCCAGAUUCAAGCAAUUCUCCUGCCUCAGCCUUCCGAGUAGCUGGGAUUACAGAUGGACUUUCGCUCUUGUCACUCAGGCUGGAGUGCAAUAGCAUGAUCUCAGCUCACCACAACCUCCACCUCCUGGGUUGAAGCAAUUCUCCUGCCUCAGUCUCCUGAGUAGCAGGGAUUACAGGUCCUUGAGGAAUGAACACACUGUCUUCCACAAUGGUUGAACUAAUGGAAACUCCCACCAGCAGUGUAAAGGUGUUUUUAUUUCUCCACAUCCUCUCCAGUAUCUGCUGUCUCCAGAUUUUUUAAUGAUUGCCAUUCUACUGGUGUGAGAAGGCCUAAUAUAUGAUCUUUCCCAGAGAACAUUCCACAUGUACUUUGAAGAAUGUAUAUUCUGCUGGGGGAACUCAUCUGUGUAUGUCUGAUUCUCCAAGCUUCCCGUGGAGCCACACCAACUGUCUUGGCACUUCGUGAGUCCAAGGCUGCUUCCCAAGCGGACCUGGUGGCAGACCAUGACAUUGAUUCCUGCCUCUAAGCCUAGCUUUAUUCUCAGCAGCCACCACCUUUUUGGUACUAGAACAGUGCUUUUUCUAGUACACUCGUAAGUGGAUGCUGAAAUCACAACCUGGCCAUUUGGAUGUUCAACGAAUGCUUUAUGCUGCGGAGUCCCAGGAACUCAAAAACCCAUGCCAGAACUCACCAACCCAUGCCGGAACUCACAGGGCUCAGGCUCAAGUAUAGUACUAUCUUGACACUGCGACCACUGCCUCCUGGGUUUAUGUGAUUCUCCUGUCUCAGCCUCUGGAGUAACUGGAACUACAUGUACUCACUGCCAUGCCCAGCAUUAUGCGUUGUCCUGUGUCUCCCUGAAAGACGCUGAAGCCCUACGCCGCAGGGUCUGUGGAGGCGACCUUAUUUGGAAAUAGUCUCUUCACAUGUGAUCAAGGUAAGCUGAGGUAAUGAGGGUGAAUCCUAAUUCCAUGUGCCUGGUGUCUUUAUAAAAAGGGGAUGUGUGGACAAAGACACCUACAAAGGGAAGACAAUGUCAAGACAGAAGACCACUCUACAGGCCAAGGAACUCUGAAGGCUAUGAGAAUCCAGGAGCGAGACCUGGGACAGAUCCUCCCUCACAACCUUCACAGGAAAAACAAACAAAAAACCAAAAACCCCUUGAUUUCAGACUCCUGGCCUCCAGAACUGUAAGAAUAAAUGUCUGUGGUUAAAGCCAUAAAGUUUAGGGUACUUUGUUAAAGCAGCAUUGGGAAAUGAAUGUAGAUUUCUUCGGGCGUGCAUCAACACUUCUGCAGGAAAUUUAGGACGUGGCAUGCUUGAACUUAUAAUUCAUACCUUUCUCUACUCUGAAUUCUUUUUUUGAGAGACAGGGUCUCACUCUGUCACUCAGACUGGAGUACAGUGGCACAAGCAUGGCUCACUGCAGCCUCCACCUCCUGGGCUCCACAAUCCUCUUGCCUUAGCCUCCUGAGUAGCUGAGACUUCAGGCACAUGCCACUGUGCCUGGCUAAUUUUUAAAAAAUGUUUUGUAGAGAUGGGGUCUUGCUAUGUUGAACAAGUUUACCUGGAAAUCCUAGCCUCAAGUGAUCGUCCCAUCUUGGCCUCUCAAAGUUCUGGGAUUAUAGGUAUAAGGCAUUGUAACUGGUUUGCUUUUUUUUUUUUUUUUUU
Molecule: non-coding RNA, 5896 nt
Organism: Callithrix jacchus (white-tufted-ear marmoset)
Lineage: Eukaryota; Metazoa; Chordata; Mammalia; Primates; Cebidae
Source: RefSeq, a predicted model, not a curated record